Molecule: ribosomal RNA, 208 nt
Filed under: uncultured fungus
Lineage: Eukaryota; Fungi
Description: partial small subunit ribosomal RNA
Rfam family: Eukaryotic small subunit ribosomal RNA (bases 81-208)
Source: RNAcentral
GGCCAAUUCUGCACUGUGCAGUUUGCCGGUGUCGAGUUUGGUCAUCCGUAGGGGAAGCUAGUUCGGCCUUCACUGGUCGGUUAGGGGAACCUACAAUUUACUGUGAAAAAAUUAGAGUGUUUAAAGCAGGCAAUCGCUUGGAUACAUUAGCAUGGAAUAAUGAAAUAGGACGUUCGAUCCUAUUUUGUUGGUUUCUAGGAUUGACGUA